This 85-nucleotide microRNA precursor is filed under the name Cajanus cajan (pigeon pea). RNAcentral describes it as "miRNA gene-KK1_044249". Lineage: Eukaryota; Viridiplantae; Streptophyta; Magnoliopsida; Fabales; Fabaceae. The record is from RNAcentral.
UUUAAGAUCGGUUAUUUAAGAACCGAUCUUAAAAGUGAUGUCUGAUACAACUUUUAAGAUCAGUUCUUUUGUAACCGAUCUUAAA